This is a non-coding RNA of Phrynosoma platyrhinos (Desert horned lizard), 74 nucleotides long. The record is from the annotation of a GenBank genome assembly. NCBI's taxonomy places the organism in Eukaryota, Metazoa, Chordata, Lepidosauria, Squamata, Phrynosomatidae.
AGUCCAGUGGGGUAUAGUGGUUUGAGCAUUGGACUAAGACUCUGGAGACCAGGGUUCGAAUCCAGGCUGGGCCA